GAUGAACGCUGGCGGCGUGCCUAAUACAUGCAAGUCGAGCGAACAGACGAGGAGCUUGCUCCUCGGACGUUAGCCGCGGACGGGAGAGUAACACGUGUAUAACCUACCUGUAUGACGGGGAUCACUACGGGACACCGGCGCUAAUACCGUAGAAUAUCUUGAACCGCAUGGUUCAAUGGUGAAUGACGGUUUUUCUGUCACGUAUAGAUGGAUCUGCGCCGCUUUAGCUGGUUGGUAGGGUAACGGCUUACCAAGGCAACGAGGCGUAGCCGACGUGAGGGGGUGGUAGGCGGCACUGGAAGUGAGACGCCGUCAAUAGUACUACGGGAGGGAGCAGUAGCGUAUGGUAGGCAGUGGGCGAAAGCCUGACGGAGUAACGCGGCGUGAGUGAUGAAGGUCUCCGGAUCGUAAAGCCCUGUUAUGAGGUAAGAACAAAUGUGGAAGUAACUAUGCACUUCUUGACGGUACUUGAUCAGAAAGCCACGGCUAACUACGUG
RNAcentral lists this ribosomal RNA (497 nucleotides) under uncultured bacterium. RNAcentral's name for it is "partial 16S ribosomal RNA". It matches the Rfam family "Bacterial small subunit ribosomal RNA", at positions 28 to 507 of the family's 1533-position model. The record is from RNAcentral.